GCUAGAAGAAAAGGGCAACCAUAAUGGAAAGGUCGGAAUACCGCCCCAUAGAAGUGACCGAGCCACUGGAACUGGUGGGCAUGGAUCUAGCAGAGGCCUACCCACUAAAAAACAAAAUCAGCAGCUGAGGUCACCAGUUGUAUACUUGUGGGUUU
Molecule: long non-coding RNA, 155 nt
Organism: Cyprinodon tularosa
Lineage: Eukaryota; Metazoa; Chordata; Actinopteri; Cyprinodontiformes; Cyprinodontidae
Exons: 3
Source: RefSeq, a predicted model, not a curated record